GAUGAACGCUGGCGGCGUGCUUAACACAUGCAAGUCGAACGGAAAGGCCCAAGCUUGCUUGGGUACUCGAGUGGCGAACGGGUGAGUAACACGUGGGUGAUCUGCCCUGCACUUCGGGAUAAGCCUGGGAAACUGGGUCUAAUACUGGAUAGGACCACUUCUUGGAUGGUGUGGUGGAAAGUUUUUUCGGUGUGGGAUGAGCUCGCGGCCUAUCAGCUUGUUGGUGGGGUAAUGGCCUACCAAGGCGUCGACGGGUAGCCGGCCUGAGAGGGUGUACGGCCACAUUGGGACUGAGAUACGGCCCAGACUCCUACGGGAGGCAGCAGUGGGGAAUAUUGCACAAUGGGCGCAAGCCGGAUGCAGCGACGCCGCGUGGGGAUGACGGCCUUCGGGUUGUAAACUCCUUUCGCUAGGGACGAAGCGUUUUUGUGACGGUACCUGGAGAAGAAGCACCGGCUAACUACGUG
This 467-nucleotide ribosomal RNA is filed under the name uncultured bacterium. RNAcentral's name for it is "partial 16S ribosomal RNA". It matches the Rfam family "Bacterial small subunit ribosomal RNA", at positions 28 to 507 of the family's 1533-position model. The record is from RNAcentral.